RNAcentral lists this transfer RNA (77 nucleotides) under Marinilabiliales bacterium. RNAcentral describes it as "tRNA-Met". It matches the Rfam family "tRNA". From Rfam's summary of the family: Transfer RNA (tRNA) molecules are approximately 80 nucleotides in length. Their secondary structure includes four short double-helical elements and three loops (D, anti-codon, and T loops). Lineage: Bacteria; Pseudomonadati; Bacteroidota; Bacteroidia; Marinilabiliales. The record is from RNAcentral.
GGGCCCAUAGCUCAGCUGGUUAGAGCACCUGACUCAUAAUCAGGGGGUCCCUGGUUCGAGCCCAGGUGGGCCCACAA